GUUCAGGCUCAGGAUGAACGCUGGCGGCGUGCUUAACACAUGCAAGUCGAACGAUGACUUUUGUGCUUGCACAAAAUGAUUAGUGGCGAACGGGUGAGUAACACGUGAGUAACCUGCCCUUGACUCUGGGAUAAGCCUGGGAAACUGGGUCUAAUACUGGAUAUGCACCGUGAACCGCAUGGUUUUUGGUGGAAAGAUUUAUUGGUCAAGGAUGGACUCGCGGCCUAUCAGCUUGUUGGUGAGGUAAUGGCUCACCAAGGCGACGACGGGUAGCCGGCCUGAGAGGGUGACCGGCCACACUGGGACUGAGACACGGCCCAGACUCCUACGGGAGGCAGCAGUGGGGAAUAUUGCACAAUGGGCGAAAGCCUGAUGCAGCGACGCCGCGUGAGGGAUGACGGCCUUCGGGUUGUAAACCUCUUUCAGUAGGGAAGAAGCGAAAGUGACGGUACCUGCAGAAGAAGCGCCGGCUAACUACGUGCCAGCAGCCGCGGUAAUACGUAGGGCGCAAGCGUUAUCCGGAAUUAUUGGGCGUAAAGAGCUCGUAGGCGGUUUGUCGCGUCUAUCGUGAAAGUCCGAGGCUCAACUUCGGAUCUGCGGUGGGUACGGGCAGACUAGAGUGAUGUAGGGGAGACUGGAAUUCCUGGUGUAGCGGUGAAAUGCGCAGAUAUCAGGAGGAACACCGAUGGCGAAGGCAGGUCUCUGGGCACUAACUGACGCUGAGAGCGAAACGCCGCCC
This 739-nucleotide ribosomal RNA is filed under the name Paeniglutamicibacter gangotriensis. Its description in RNAcentral is "bacterial SSU rRNA". It matches the Rfam family "Bacterial small subunit ribosomal RNA", at positions 16 to 766 of the family's 1533-position model. Lineage: Bacteria; Bacillati; Actinomycetota; Actinomycetes; Micrococcales; Micrococcaceae. The record is from RNAcentral.